RNAcentral lists this ribosomal RNA (119 nucleotides) under Aotus nancymaae (Ma's night monkey). The record is from RNAcentral. Lineage: Eukaryota; Metazoa; Chordata; Mammalia; Primates; Aotidae.
GUCUACGGCUAUACCACCCUGAAUGCGCCUGAUCUCAUCUGGUCUCGGAAGCUAAGCAGGGUUGGUCCUGGCUAGUACUUGGAUGGGAGGCUGCCUGGGAAUACACGGUGCUGUAGGCU